UAGUCCACGCCGUAAACGAUGGUCACUAGUUGUUGGGGUCUUGUACCUCAGUGAUUAAGAGAAAUUGAUAAGUGACCCACCUGGGGAGUACGAUCGCAAGAAUGAAACUCAAAGGAAUUGACGGGGGCCCGCACAAGCGGUGGAGCAUGUGGUUUAAUUCGAUGAUACGCGAGGAACCUUACCAGGGCUUAAAUGUAAGUUGCAUUAGCUAGAGAUAGCUAUUUCUUCGGACCACUUACAAGGUGCUGCAUGGUUGUCGUCAGCUCGUGCCGUGAGGUGUCAGGUUAAGUCCUAUAACGAGCGCAACCCCUGUUGUUAGUUGCCAGCGAGUCAAGUCGGGAACUCUAACAAGACUGCCAGUGCAAACUGUGAGGAAGGUGGGGAUGACGUCAAAUCAUCACGGCCCUUACGUCCUGGGCUACACACGUGCUACAAUGGUAGGUACAGAGAGCAGCCACUGCGUGAGCAGGAGCGAAUCUAUAAAACCUAUCAC
This 493-nucleotide ribosomal RNA is filed under the name uncultured bacterium. Its description in RNAcentral is "bacterial SSU rRNA". It matches the Rfam family "Bacterial small subunit ribosomal RNA", at positions 791 to 1289 of the family's 1533-position model. The record is from RNAcentral.